ACCAUCACUAAACUUGAGACCAAUUUUAUUAUUAAUUAACUAGAAGCCCAAUUAAAGCAGUAGCAAGGAUCACCCCAAAUGAGUUCGUAGCCCUUGAAAGGUUUCGAGACAACAAACCAAUGUCCCAAGUUUUGACCACGAGAUCAAAACUCCGAGUUUUCUCCACCUUUAUGGAGUAUUAAAUAUUCUCCGCCUUUCUCCCUCUAAUCCUGGGUCCUUUCUCAAUUCCAUAUGCAUAAUCAUUCAAAUCAGCCAUUCUAUAUAUAAUUUGCAUUAAAGAUCCAUUUGGGUGUCUUCCCUAUGACGCAGAAGCAACUCUAGUCUAGAUAUAAUGGCUGACGAAGGAGCUUCAAAGUACCUCUUCUUUUGUCUCUUGAUUCUUCUCACAUUCUUCUCUUCAGAAGUGCUCCCAAGAAAAGAAAUUGAGCAGAAAGAUCUCAAAACAGAAGCAAACCGGGUGUUUGAUAAAAUUCCCUACAGAGAACUCAUUGACCAUUUCCACCAUAAAACAACUCUACAUGACACAAUCUACCCACCAAAUUUCCCCACCUUCACUCCAACAGUCGUCACCAUUCCCUCCACCGUUCCCGUCACCGUCACUGUAACCCCCAACCCUACUUCCACUUCCACUCCCACUCCCACUCCCACUCCCGUACCCAUCCCCUCCUCCCCUACAGUUCCAAUCACAAAUCCCGUUACGACACCUAGCACAGUCCAGCCGAUAACUAACCCGGUAACCUCUUUCCCGGCUCCAACAACCGGAGUUCCAGUCAUGACGCCAGUGACAGUAGGAACUCCGGCUGUCUCAGGGCAGAGCUGGUGUGUGGCGAAGAGUGGAGCAACGGAGAGUGCACUUCAGGUGGCGCUUGAUUAUGCUUGUGGGCUUGGAGGCGCAGAUUGUUCAGGGAUACAGGAGGAUGGGGGAUGUUAUAAUCCGAAUAGUUUGGAAAGCCAUGCCUCGUUUGCCUUCAACAGUUACUAUCAGAAGAGCCCGGUGCAAACGAGCUGUGACUUUGGAGGAACUGCCGUGAUAACCUACGUGAAUCCAAGCACUGGAACAUGCAUCUACCAAUCAUCUUUGGCUUCUUCUUCAUCGCCGAUGACAGAAACGACUCCAUCACCAACAACUACAUCAUCACCAGGAUCAAUAGUGCCUGGCUCCGAUUCUCUUCCCUCGGUGUUAAAUGCAAGCAACCCAGCUUCGGGUAGCACAUCAGUUUUCGGCGAUGGUCCUCCUAGUUAUCCUAGUUACAACACUUCCACAUCCAUGGCUAUCAAUUUGCAACCCUUUGUUCGUUGUAUCAUUCCAGUAGCAUCGUAUAUCAUUGGGAAAGUCAUUUUCGACGUGUAGAUGAGAAGCUCAUAGCUUCAGAACUACAGUGUUUAGGCUAGCGUACAAAUUGAUGAUCCUCAAAGGAAGGACGCAAGUGGUGAUUUCUUCAGGACACUAAAUUUCUAACAACCGUGUUGUGCUCGGAUUCUCAAUAGUCUGCAUGAUCGAGCUCAGCUGAGAAUUGACCUGAAGGGAAUGGGGCAACUUCAAGUCUUCAAGUUCAAGACCAAGUACUGUAUUUAAGAAACAAGUUCAAUCAGCAGAUGGACAGAAUGUGCUUCAUCCAACAACUUGGACACUGUUUUGCUCAGAAUUGAGCAACUCUUUCAUGAUCCAACAGUAGUUCAAGUUGAUAGUCCACUGCGCAAAAAAACCAGUCAGAAAUUUCUUUACUUAAUUCGCGUUCUUUCCAACAUUUUGUAUACCAGAUUGAGGCUGCUUCCUCAUGGUCACAACUCACAAGUAAUAGCAAAUCGAGAACAUAUAAAUUGAAAUUUAUCUCGGUUCUAACUCGUACAUUUUGGUGUAAAUAUAGCCCGAUAGCAUCAGUUGUUUUUUUACAUGAUGACAAGAGAGGGAAACGAAAAAGGGCCAAAGAUAAAUAGCCACGUAAACGUUGUCUUUAUACCAUUUUUAACUACCAGUGAAAUCAAGACCCCAAAUUGGCAAAUCAGACAGUGUCGUUCCAAUGGGACGAAAAGCGUCAAUGAUAAUUAAAACAAUUUCAACAUACAGAAUCCAAGUUUUCCCAUCCAGCACUUUUUUUGGGGCAGAAAGAAUAGCCAAAUAUCGAACUGUCAGCAGCAUUUUUUCCACAACAAAAUACCCAUGAUGCCACUUGCUUUUCUAACAUGGAUUACCACGGUCAAUCUUCUAAUUAGUAAAAUGCCUAAAGAUCUACAUGAGCAGCACUUCUUUUUCAAGAAUAAUAGAAAGAAGAUCCCAACCUCAAAUCAAUAUCCAUAUCUUGGCCAUUAUCUCUCUUCCAGCAGCAAUAUCAUAUACAAUUGAAACACCACCUCUCAAAAACGUCAAAUAACCAAACCCUGCCCGCAAUUAAGAUUGUUUGCCAUAUCUUAUGCCUUAGAUCUCCUAAACUCAAACCAAAUCUCAUAAUAUGAUUAAAGAGUAAGCUAUCAUGUGUGCGCUUCGCAAGAUAUUCAAGCCCCAAAUUGUUCAAUCUCUUUUGUGCACUCAUCUCCUCCUAAGCGUGAACAGAAUUUAAUGUUAUGCGACACAAAGAUUCGACCUUCGAAAGGUUUCAAUUUGUUCACUAAGCUCUCUAGUCCGGUCCAAACAAGCUUAUCAGGCAUAUGCAGGAAAACGGCACUCGCGUAUAUCAAAUCAUACAUUCCAGACCCAAACUUACUGAAAUCCAUGUCUUUCACCUUUCACAAUUAAAGGGCGUUUAUGCAGUAUUCCUUGGGAUGGAAUUAAGCUCAUAACUAAAUGCAGCCAUUAAAGAAAGUUCAUCUCUCUCUAGACAAUGGAAUUGCCCUGGAUUCAGGUACGUACCGGAUGAAAUGCAAGCCUGCUCGAAGGGUGCCACAUCCAAUCUCAAGAACAAGUAUGGAGAGAGGUGGACAGAAUCUGCAAGGAAUUCGAAGAUGUCUCAACCUCCAGCCCAGGGCUCCCCAUAAUUGCUGUGAUGCUCCUCUACAAGGAGCUCACCUGAGCAUGGUAAAGCCGUGUGAUUGCUUGAUUCCUCUCGUUCGUAAUGAGAUAUGGCCUUGAAUCUGAAAAUUAUGGGAGAUCUAAUCACAUUUCUGAAUGAAGUACUCGAAGACCAAAAUUGGACAUAAAGCCUUAAAAGUUAAAACUAAACAAGGGACACACAAAGGGGUAUAGAUGUGUAGGUAAAUAGAAAAGUAUCUACACAAGUGUGAGAGAUGUGUGGAUAUUAAACUAAAUACAAUAGUGGCAGACAGACGCGCAAACACACACGCCGACGCUAUAUCUAAGAAAUAUAUGGUACACUCCCCGCACCUUAGUCAUCAUGAGCUUAGGGGUGAAUAUUGAGAAAAGGUGUAAUUAGAUA
Molecule: RNA transcript, 3371 nt
Organism: Rhododendron vialii
Lineage: Eukaryota; Viridiplantae; Streptophyta; Magnoliopsida; Ericales; Ericaceae
Gene name: glucan endo-1,3-beta-glucosidase 4-like
Exons: 5
Source: RefSeq, a predicted model, not a curated record